AAAAGGAAUUUAAUCAGGAACAUAAAGGAAAUUAUAAAAGCAUAGUCACAAUAAAACCGGAACAUGCAAAGAGAGAGAAAGAACUACUGGAAGGAAACGAAAGGGACAGCGUAUUAAAUUCGAGCAUAGACGAAAGGAUAGAUCGUGCAAGGAGAUCAUAUUGGAUUGAAAGGACUCGGUACUAGAACUAUGGGAAAAUGUUGUAGACCAAUCGGAAGUUCUUCAGUUAGAGAGGAUGUACCUUAAAAAAUGGGACAGCACAGCAAAGAAAAUGGUUGAAGAGAAAACUGAGAAUGUGAUUAUCACAAUGAAAAGUAGUACUGAAAAAAGAAAUCUCAGUAUUCAAAGACUUAAUCUUACUCAUGGUAAGACCAUCUGCAGUAGAACAGUGCCAUAAAUGUUAUCGAUACGGACACCUAAAGGAUAUGUGUCGAAGUCAACAGAAGUGCAUUAUCUAUGGGGAAGACAGACAUGGUGAAAAGUGUGAAAGAGAGAUUAAAUGCAGAAACUGUAACAGAAAACAUAAGUCAACAGCAAGAUCGUGCCCGGUGUAUAAGAAAAAUGAAAACAUAAUCAUGCUAAUGGAAUAUCAUAACAUCUCAUAUUAGCAGAAAAAAUAUUAGGAAGGAAAAGAGAAUAAUCCAGAGGCAUACAACAGAUAUGUACCAGAAAAAUGGCCAGAGCUAUCUGGAUCAUCAAGAUAUAACUCGAAAAAAUGGUGGGACUGCAAGAAAGCAAUAAAAA
Long non-coding RNA from Pogonomyrmex barbatus (red harvester ant), 744 nucleotides. RefSeq lists it as uncharacterized. Lineage: Eukaryota; Metazoa; Arthropoda; Insecta; Hymenoptera; Formicidae. The record is from RefSeq and is a predicted model, not a curated record.